Schistocerca gregaria is the source of this 361-nucleotide long non-coding RNA. RefSeq lists it as uncharacterized. The transcript has 2 exons. NCBI's taxonomy places the organism in Eukaryota, Metazoa, Arthropoda, Insecta, Orthoptera, Acrididae. The record is from RefSeq and is a predicted model, not a curated record.
CAUCGCCACAGCCACACCGUCAAACAUGAACAGCUUCGUCGUGCGUGCGGUGGCGGCGGCGGCGGCUCUGCUGCUGGUGCUGGCUUCACUGGCGUCGGCGGCCCCUGCGGCCGUAGCUGCGGGGGCGGCGGGGGCGGCGGGGGCGUCGCAGCGCGAGGCGCUGCAGCCGGCCGAGACGCUGUACUACUCUGCUUUCGGCAGCGUCGUGCCCGGCAUCUACCCCGGCGCCGUCUCCUACCUGGGCUGAGCGCUGCCACCCACACCGCCACACCCACUCCGGCCCGGCGCCGUCCACGGACUAUCCUAGCUCCAACCAGCCAUGUCAUUCUAAAUAGGCAAUAAAGCAGCACUUUCAAAAAUA